Molecule: non-coding RNA, 31 nt
Filed under: Mus musculus (house mouse)
Lineage: Eukaryota; Metazoa; Chordata; Mammalia; Rodentia; Muridae
Source: RNAcentral
UGCAGUUGUGUUGUCCUUUUCUCAGGCAUGU